Molecule: non-coding RNA, 725 nt
Organism: Lactuca sativa (garden lettuce)
Lineage: Eukaryota; Viridiplantae; Streptophyta; Magnoliopsida; Asterales; Asteraceae
Source: RefSeq, a predicted model, not a curated record
CUUAACAUGUGGUUAACGCCUUAACGGUAACAAAAACCAUAGUGCCGAUUUCCGCAAGCCAAACGAAACCCUAAUUUCAACCCUAUUUAACCCCCCUCUCUACACUUACACAACAACAACAGCCAGCCACCAUCUUUUCUUUCAAUCAAAUCUAUUUAUGCGGUUAUGCUCACACUGUUUGCUUUGAAUUGUUCUACUUUAUUUUUAAUGUGGUUACAUCGUAGUAGAGAGAGAUCGCAAUGACGACUUGCAAAAUUCAAGCUCAACAGACCGGAAUGCAGGCUUAUCUCUCCUGAGAGAUUUGCUUGCGUGUCGAUAUUCCCGCUGAACUGAGUGAUUUUCUCUUUCAAUUGAUUGAUUUUUUCAUUGUCUUUGUGUUUAUAUCUACUGCUUUUUAAUGCAUGAUUUGGCUUUUAUUUUUAUGUGGGAAUAGAAGGGGAUUACAAUGAGGAUACAAAGCUCCCUCUUCUGAAUUAGUAUGAGGAAAGAUGUGUCCACAAUAGAUUACGUUUUCUGAAACAAGUUAUUCCACAAGCAAAACAUCCUCACUCGAGCAAAAGGACAACUGGACAAGACUCUUUUAGUCUAAACAAAUUAGGAUCCAAUAUAUAUUGUAACAAUGAAUUUACACUGGAACAAAUAAACGGGUGAACAACGUGUGACAGCUAAAAAAGUAGCAAUACCUUGUGUACUUCAAUUUCAUACUAAGAAUUGAUUUUAACUGA